UAGGGAAUUUUCCACAAUGGACGAAAGUCUGAUGGAGCAACGCCGCGUGCAGGAUGAAGGCCUUCGGGUCGUAAACUGCUUUUGUUUGUGAAGAUUAUGACGGUAACAUACGAAUAAGGGUCUGCUAACUACGUGCCAGCAGCCGCGGUCAUACGUAGGACCCAAGCGUUAUCCGGAAUUACUGGGCGUAAAGAGUUGCGUAGGUGGCAGAGUAAGUUUCAAUAUAAAGAUCACGGCUCAACCGUGGGAACUAUUGGAAUACUGCUCAGCUAGAGGAUGAGAGAGGUCACUGGAAUUCCUAGUGUAGGAGUGAAAUCCGUAGAUAUUAGGAGGAACACCGAUGGCGUAGGCAGGUGACUGGCUCAUUCCUGACACUAAGGCACGAAAGCGUGGGGAGCGAACGGGAUUAGAUACCCCCGUAGUCC
This 425-nucleotide ribosomal RNA is filed under the name uncultured bacterium. RNAcentral's name for it is "bacterial SSU rRNA". It matches the Rfam family "Bacterial small subunit ribosomal RNA", at positions 355 to 796 of the family's 1533-position model. The record is from RNAcentral.